This 934-nucleotide ribosomal RNA is filed under the name uncultured bacterium. RNAcentral describes it as "bacterial SSU rRNA". It matches the Rfam family "Bacterial small subunit ribosomal RNA", at positions 8 to 916 of the family's 1533-position model. The record is from RNAcentral.
AGAGUUUGAUCAUGGCUCAGAGCGAACGCUGGCGGCGUACUUAACACAUGCAAGUCGAACGAGAAUCGCUUGUGUAGCAAUACACAGGUGGUUCUAGUGGCGUACGGGUGAGUAACACGUGGGCAACCUGCCCUUGAGUCCGGGAUACCCUCUCGAAAGGGAGGCUAAUACUGGAUACGUUCCUCGGGUCGCGAGAUCUGGGGAGGAAAGGUGGCGAAAGCUGCCGCUCUUGGAGGGGCUCGCGGCCUAUCAGCUAGUUGGUGAGGUAAUGGCUCACCAAGGCUAUGACGGGUAGCUGGUCUGAGAGGACGACCAGCCACACGGGAACUGAGACACGGUCCCGACUCCUACGGGAGGCAGCAGUGGGGAAUUUUCCGCAAUGGGCGAAAGCCUGACGGAGUGACGCCGCGUGGGGGACGAAGGCCUUCGGGUCGUAAACCCCUGUCAGAGGGAAAGAAGGGUCGCCGACCUAACACGUCGGUGAUCUGACGGUACCUUCAGAGGAAGCCCCGGCCAACUCUGUGCCAGCAGCCGCGGUAAGACAGAGGGGGCAAGCGUUGCUCGGAAUCACUGGGCGUAAAGGGCGCGUAGGCGGGAUGGCAAGUCAGUCGUGAAAUCUCUCGGCUCAACCGAGAAACGUCGGCUGAUACUGCCGUUCUUGAGGGAUGCAGAGGAGACUGGAAUUCCCGGUGUAGCGGUGAAAUGUGUAGAGAUCGGGAGGAACACCGGUGGCGAAGGCGGGUCUCUGGGCAUUUCCUGACGCUGAGGCGCGAAAGCGUGGGGAGCAAACGGGAUUAGAUACCCCGGUAGUCCACGCUGUAAACGAUGACGACUAGGUGUGGGGUGGGUUAGUCCAUUCCGUGCCGCAGCUAACGCAUUAAGUCGUCCGCCUGGGGAGUACGGCCGCAAGGUUGAAACUCAAAUGAAUUGACGG